UGCCUCCUGGGUUCAAGCAAUUCUUCUGCCUCAGCCUCCUGAGUAGCUGGGACUACAGUGGUCCUUACACUGGAUUUAUUUAUCUUGAAUAGGCAGACAACUGGAGAUGCAGAUCUCAAUCUAUGGUGCAUAUCAAGCAAUUAAACUUUUUCUUGUAAUGUUAUGAUUUUUUUCUGCUUUCUGGGAACAUUUCCAGCAUUACUUACUAGUGGCACUUUGUAUGGUUCCCAUGGUGUUAUUUAAGGUUAAUGGUGUUACACUUAAGCAUGAUGAACCAAAAGAGGUCACUUUUUACUGUGACACACAAUUUACUGGAAUGAUGAAAUGUUCACUUGGAGAUAAUUAGUGCUACAUGGUGUGAAGUACAUACUUGUGACACUUGAGCUCACUGCAGUAGCAGCAGGAGGUGUCUACAAAAUUAUUAUAAUAGUAUAGUAUUACUACAGUUAAUUUUAUAUGGUUAUGAUUUAAUACUGCAUCCUUAUAUUUGGUUACAUUUGUCUUGACUGUGAAUAAGUGUUUGCAUGUGUUUUGAUGAAUUUUAACUUUUUGUGAUAGAUUUGUGUAUAUUUUAUGGUAGUAAAUGGUAAAAUAGACUAAUAACUACAUAUUUUAUGCCUUCAUGACGUACGUUUUUCUUAAUUUUUUAAGUAUUUCUCAGCUGUGGGUUUGUUUUUUUCAAAUUAUUGUAAAUCUCCAAAAACUUUUCUAAUAUAUUUGUUGAAAAAAAUCCACAUGUAAGCAGAACUUUGUAGUUCAAACCUGUGUUAUUUGAGUCAACUAUGGUCUCUUCUGUGAGUUUACAGCAGUUACCUAACUGGAAUCUACCCCUCCAAUCUUGUCCCCUGACCUAUCCCAUUCUUCCUUAUGUGGCAUCCAGAAUGACCUGGCUCCAGGCCAAUAGCACUUGUCCACCCAGCUGGGACAUGGGUAGAAGAGCUGCUCUCAAUUGGCCAUCCAAGGUAGAUAUUGUAUGGACAGUUAUAGGGGGCUUGGGUGUAAUUGAUUUCCCGAACCCAUUGUAAUAUUAUUUUAAAUUAUAAUAAACUAUACCAUCAUGUCUUCUCAUAUCAAGUACAUACUAAGGAGGUUACAAAUGGAUGGACACAUGACAGCUUGGGUCUGACCAUCUCAAUCAGGUUUAACUAGGUUCUAGCAAGGCAAUCAUUCAGAGCCUUGUUAUUUUAACAGCUUUGAUCUUCCUGGAAGCUGAAUUUGAAUAGAAGGAAAACUGCUGAUUGUGAUUAAUGUUAUACCCAAGGUUUUUUGUGGAAAAACAUGUGUGUGUGUGUGUGUGUGUGUCUUAAUGCUUAGUCUGUCUAAUGAUAAUAUCUGAAUUCUAUCAAUUUUGUGUUCUGCUGUCAUGUAGAAAUUAUUCACUUGGGACUAAAAUUGUCCAAAUGGAUGAAUUCUUUGGAGAACUGAGGAUUUACUUCUUUAAACUCGAAAACUGUGUAUUUGGCAUUUUGAAUCAGAAAUGUGUUAUAAACCUCCCCAUCAAUGUAACCAGUAUAAAUUGUUGUUUUAUUGAUUACUCAGGACUUUAAAUGUAAGUGGGUACAGUGAUGUUUCUAGGGUCUAUUGAGAAAUAGCAAGGUAUUUGCCCCAUCACUAAAUAGCCCCAGAUAGCCAUUUUCAACUUUUUGUAGUUUUUCUGUCUCUCCUCUAGUUGAUAUUUCAUACUGUUGCCAGUGAGUUUACCUGUAGCAACUCUUGUUCCCAAUUUUGUUGUUUCCAAUUUUGUUGAAUACUGGAGAAACCAAACCAAGCCUUAGAGAGUUGUAUGUAAAAGAGUAUGUACAAGAGUAAAUAGGUCCAGAAUAAGAGUAUAGGGGCUUAUCUAGGAUCAAAGUGUAUACAUGUCAGAACAGAGGCUUUGUUACAUCCACUAUUUGAAACAGGUCUUUAAAGACUAAUAGUAAAAUAAAUAUCCAUAUAUUACAUCUGCCAUUUGAAGGUCAAAAUGGUAGAUUAUUGGCAGUUUCAUCUGGUUAAACCUAAUAUAUAUAUACCAUGCAUGAGUGAGCUAGAUUAGUGUUUUGCAAUUUACUGUGGUCAGCUUUCUUUGUGUGUGUGUGGUAAUUUCCACUCCAUCACAGUCAAAUUCUUUUGCAAAAGACAAUAAAAACAGAUUGCUAGAAAAAUUAGAUGAAAACAUACAAAAUAAAAGCCCAUUUAUUUUAUUAGAUUAGUAUAGACACAAAAUUAUAUUUUAAUACAAAUAAUCAGAACAACCUCAUAUAGGAAAAAAGAGAUAUAAAACUGCACAUACUCAAUAUGUAUACAUACAUUUGAUUAAUAUGGAAAUUACUGAACAUGCAAAUUCUGUUCUUUGCCAUCAUAACUAAACACAGUUAUAAGGGAAAUAAUGAUUCGUGGUUUUGAACUUGUUUUUUUAAUUCAAACACCACUUAGGUUUCAGCGUUUAGGUGGUUCCAUUACUUCCUUAGCUUCUACAAAUAACACCCAGGGUUUAGCACUUGACCAUAACUUACAUCUACAAAAUCAGACAAACCCAGCAUUUGAGGGAUCAUAUUUUGAGAAAAACAGGUACAAACUCUUUUAACCUUUUUCUCUUUGGAAUCAUUCCCAUUGUCAUCAUUUAGUCAACUACUAUCACUACAUUCAGAAAAAGUGUGUCU
Chlorocebus sabaeus (green monkey) is the source of this 2642-nucleotide non-coding RNA. The record is from RefSeq and is a predicted model, not a curated record. Lineage: Eukaryota; Metazoa; Chordata; Mammalia; Primates; Cercopithecidae.